Ictidomys tridecemlineatus (thirteen-lined ground squirrel) is the source of this 1604-nucleotide non-coding RNA. The record is from RefSeq and is a predicted model, not a curated record. Lineage: Eukaryota; Metazoa; Chordata; Mammalia; Rodentia; Sciuridae.
CUGUACAAAAGCCAGGAUCGUAGUGUGUCAGUGUCAAUUUCCUGAGGACACUUUCAGAAAAGCUGGAGAGACAGCAACGUGUGAAGGGAAUGAGGUCAGAAUUUACUGAGAGGACCAUUUACUCUUAGAAGGAAUACGGCGGGACAGUGAGGUUCUGCACCGACUGAAAGAAGAUGUCCAGAGGUGCACCAUGUAAAUUCACCAACUGCUAUUUCAAAGACCACAGAAAGAAGAUGAUUGGUGGAGACCUACAGUUCAUUCAGCACUCUAAGUCUUUAUUAUAGUUCUCGGCGGACACAACAUCUUUGUUUGUAUGUGGUGCUGAGGCUCGAACCCGGGCCGCACGCACGCCAGGAUUAAAAUGGACAGCCUGAAAUAACAUUUGGACCGAAACCUAAAUAAUGGACACAAGUCACCACCAUUUUAGAGCUGGAAAAAAACUAAGAUCACCAUAAAUUGAGCUGCUCUGCUCUACCGGUGUACACCCUGUUUACCAUCCAAUCAAGCGAGGGCUUUCUUGAGAGAAGAAGACAAUUCCUGCUUGGCUGCUUGAUCUGGAGCAUUAGUCUUCUGCCGUUGGACUGGAACUUAUUUGGCUUUCCUGAUUCCCAGGUCUUUUAGUACAUACUGGGACUGUGCCAUCAACUCUCGUGGAUCUACAGGUUCCUGACUACAGGUCUUGGGACUUCUCAGCCUAAAACUUUGUAAUUGUAUGAACCCAUACCUUAUAAUGAUAUCUUUAUAGAUACAUGUAUAUGUAUGUGCACAUUUAUGCACAUGUGUUUCCUAAAGGAUUGUAUUUUUCUAGCCAAUCCAAUCUAAUGCUGAUUUCAAUUUUGGAAAUGGAAUGCUCCUGGAACAAAUAUCCACAAGUAGAAAAGAAGUUUUUUAAAUGGGUAAUAGAAAGAUGCUGCACUAGUUUUUAAGUGCUUACUAUAAAUAUAGACACAUUAGUAAUUCUGGUGAGAUCUCAGUAAGGAAUAUUUUAUUGGAAACUGGGAGGAUAGUUUAUUAUUAUAAAUUAGCAAAGACAUGUUUAAUUAGCAAAGACUGUAUUCUAGUGUUUUGUAAAAGAGAACUUGUGAUCAACAAAAUUAGAUAUUUAGGUAAGGAGAUUCCAAAAAAUAAAUAUUAAAGGAGUGGCUUAGUUUCUCCUGACUGCUUCCAAUAAAGUAUGAGAGAAGAGAUGAUUAAAGGAGGAAUUGUUAAGCUUAAAGAAACCAGAACAUAAAUGCUUGAAAAAAAAUGUCAGCCUGUUCAUAUUGCAAAAAAAUGAGGAAGCAUAUUCAGAAAAGAACGUCAAAAUGUUGCUGGGCUAUUACUCAAUAAAGAGCUCAUGGGAUUAUAUGAGCAGAAACACUAUUCACUUUAAUGAAGUUGACAGGGAUGGAAUGAAAUGAAGGGGGGGGGUGUUGAACUCCUUAGAUUCUAAGAAUGGAACCAUGUAGUUAUUUCGCCUUUGAAACCUUUAAAUAUCCCCCCCUCCAGAAAAAAAGGAAAGAAGCAGUAUGGAGAUUUCUUGGAAGAUUGGUAAUGGAACCACCAUUUGACCCAGCUUUUCCCUCUCCUUGGUCUAUACCCAAAGGACUUAAAAACUGCAUACU